UACGGAAGGUCCGGGCGUUAUCCGGAUUUAUUGGGUUUAAAGGGAGCGUAGGCCGGAGAUUAAGCGUGUUGUGAAAUGUAGAUGCUCAACAUCUGAACUGCAGCGCGAACUGGUUUCCUUGAGUACGCAUAAAGUGGGCGGAAUUCGUGGUGUAGCGGUGAAAUGCUUAGAUAUCACGAAGAACUCCGAUUGCGAAGGCAGCUCAUUGGGGCGCAACUGACGCUGAAGCUCGAAAGCGCGGGUAUCGAACAGG
RNAcentral lists this ribosomal RNA (253 nucleotides) under Segatella copri DSM 18205. Its description in RNAcentral is "Prevotella copri DSM 18205 partial 16S ribosomal RNA". It matches the Rfam family "Bacterial small subunit ribosomal RNA", at positions 524 to 776 of the family's 1533-position model. Lineage: Bacteria; Pseudomonadati; Bacteroidota; Bacteroidia; Bacteroidales; Prevotellaceae. The record is from RNAcentral.